Scomber scombrus (Atlantic mackerel) is the source of this 576-nucleotide long non-coding RNA. RefSeq lists it as uncharacterized. The record is from RefSeq and is a predicted model, not a curated record. The transcript is spliced from 3 exons. Lineage: Eukaryota; Metazoa; Chordata; Actinopteri; Scombriformes; Scombridae.
GCAGGAGGAUGAGAAAGGGAAGAAUCAGACAGAUAUCAUCAUUCUCGUUUGCGUUCUGCUCUUGUUGAUCGCUUUGGUCGCAGCAGGCGUCGCCAUUAGCAGGAGAAGAUGGAACCAACAUAAAAUGUAACAUCAGCAGCAGCAGCAGCAGCAGCAGGAGCAGCAGGAGCAGCCGGAGCUGAUGUACAGUUUGAUCCAGUUCAGCUCUGACCUGCCGGAGCUCCAAAAUCAAGGUACUGCGAUAGAGAACAUCUACCAGAACCACAGCACUGGUUAUGCUGGCGGCAACAGCGACUGUGUUUACGAGGUCUGACUCUGAGGCGUGAGAGGAGAGAAACCAACUACGAGUCCCAGAGGGCUUUGCUGCAAGAAACAUCCAAUCAGAGAGCUUCAGACGGCGUCCACGUCAUGUGAUGAUGGAGGAUGUUGAUGACCUGCAGGCGUUCAGGUCAUGAAGACGACUGCUUGUUUUUAUAUUUAAUUUAAUAUCACAUCAAACUACUUUUUAUGUGUUUGUGUUAAUAUUUAAAGAAAAUGAGCUUCUGCUUUUUAUUGUAUCAGCUCAGCAUUUAAAUC